UCAAAAUUAGAUUGAUCUAACCAUAUGUGCAAAAUACAUGAUAACGUAUAUUUAGAUAAGACAGCGUUAUACGUGAAACUGCGAUAAAUAGUAACGGACGUAAGCAGUAAUGUUGUUUCUACAUAGCGGACAAGUUGUGAUAUCCGGUCCGCAAUAUUCGCACACACUGUAAGAAAACAAAGCGAAUUUAUUGCAAGAUCUACUGACGUGUGCACCACGUCGUUUUCUGAGAAAUCAGAUUACGCGCGUGCAUAUAUUGAACAUAUGACGUAGCAUAUUGGACACAAGAGAUAGAGUUGCUUGCAUAUCAUUUACACAAAAGAUUAUUGCAACGAGAAAUGCUAAAUUA
This is a long non-coding RNA of Pseudomyrmex gracilis, 349 nucleotides long. RefSeq lists it as uncharacterized. The record is from RefSeq and is a predicted model, not a curated record. NCBI's taxonomy places the organism in Eukaryota, Metazoa, Arthropoda, Insecta, Hymenoptera, Formicidae. The transcript has 3 exons.